CCUACGGGUGGCAGCAGUGGGGAAUAUUGGACAAUGGGCGAAAGCCUGAUCCAGCCAUGCCGCGUGUGUGAAGAAGGCCUUCGGGUUGUAAAGCACUUUCAGUGGGGAAGAAAGCCUUGGGGCUAAUACCCUCGAGGAAGGACAUCACCCACAGAAGAAGCACCGGCUAACUCCGUGCCAGCAGCCGCGGUAAUACGGAGGGUGCGAGCGUUAAUCGGAAUUACUGGGCAUAAAGCGCGCGUAGGCGGUCUGAUAAGCCGGUUGUGAAAGCCCCGGGCUCAACCUGGGAACGGCAUCCGGAACUGUCAGGCUAGAGUGCAGGAGAGGAAGGUAGAAUUCCCGGUGUAGCGGUGAAAUGCGUAGAGAUCGGGAGGAAUACCAGUGGCGAAGGCGGCCUUCUGGACUGACACUGACGCUGAGGUGCGAAAGCGUGGGUAGCAAACAGGAUUAGAUACCCCUGUAGUC
This 465-nucleotide ribosomal RNA is filed under the name Vreelandella stevensii. RNAcentral's name for it is "partial 16S ribosomal RNA". It matches the Rfam family "Bacterial small subunit ribosomal RNA", at positions 338 to 795 of the family's 1533-position model. Lineage: Bacteria; Pseudomonadati; Pseudomonadota; Gammaproteobacteria; Oceanospirillales; Halomonadaceae. The record is from RNAcentral.